Molecule: long non-coding RNA, 432 nt
Organism: Uranotaenia lowii
Lineage: Eukaryota; Metazoa; Arthropoda; Insecta; Diptera; Culicidae
Exons: 3
Source: RefSeq, a predicted model, not a curated record
GCCAAAAGUUAGCGUGAGAGGGCUUUACACGCUACACACUCAUUUGGCGGAACACCUGAAAGUUGUAAAAUUGACCCGUUUUUACGAACCCGCAUUAUCUGUCAAAUAACGGGUCAAUUUGUCGGGUCAAUAUUACACAUUAUUUUGAAAAGCCCGGGUACGCAUCAAGACGGGUAGUUUUAUGUGUUGUCAAAUUUUGAACCGCUUUGUUGCAAGUCCGCUGGACUGUUUGGAGGAGGAUUUUAACUUUGCGUGGGCACAUGAGGAGGAUUCCGAACCAGAAAUGCUUCGUGAUAAAACUACGCUGGUAAAUGGUUGCCCUGUGACCACAAGCUGCGGAAAUCAUUAUGCUCCGAAAAGGCUGAAAUCGAGCGGUAGAAUGUUAAAAAUGAUUUGUGAAGAAAAAAAAAAGUGAAAUGAUUAAAGCGAAGA